GUGAAAUUUAUAUAAAAUAUUAGUAAUUCUUUUAUGAUUUAUAGGGACUAAAAAAUUUAGGAAAAAGACCAGGAUUAGAUACCCUGUUAUUCUAAAUUAUAUCAUAAAUAGGGUAGUAAAAGUUAUUCUUCAAACCCAAAGAUUUUGGCGGCACUUUAACCAAAUAGAGGAGCUUGCCCCAUAAUCGAUAGACCUCGUUUAAUCUUACCUUAAUUUGCUUAGCUUGUAUACCGCCGUUGUCAGAUUACUCUAAAAGGAUGUUUUCUAGAAAAAAAAUUUUUUAACUUCAGGUCAAGGUGCAGUUUAUGUUAAGGUGGAGGUGAGCUACAAUUCUGUUAAGAAAACGGAUGUUUAUUUUAAAAUUAAUGGAAGGUGGAUUUAUUAGUAAGUUAAUUUNAGUAAA
This 403-nucleotide ribosomal RNA is filed under the name Daphnia laevis. Its description in RNAcentral is "partial small subunit ribosomal RNA". The record is from RNAcentral. Lineage: Eukaryota; Metazoa; Arthropoda; Branchiopoda; Diplostraca; Daphniidae.